RNAcentral lists this ribosomal RNA (490 nucleotides) under uncultured Microdochium. Its description in RNAcentral is "eukaryotic LSU rRNA". The stretch from base 112 to 265 matches the Rfam family "5.8S ribosomal RNA". The record is from RNAcentral. Lineage: Eukaryota; Fungi; Ascomycota; Sordariomycetes; Xylariales.
CUUACCACUGUUUCCUCGGUGGAAGGUACCCGAAAGGGUGCCGGUAAGCCGGUGGACAUUUAAACUCUUGUUAAUUUUGUUAAUUCUGAAUCAAACUAAGAAAUAAGUUAAAACUUUCAACAACGGAUCUCUUGGUUCUGGCAUCGAUGAAGAACGCAGCGAAAUGCGAUAAGUAAUGUGAAUUGCAGAAUUCAGUGAAUCAUCGAAUCUUUGAACGCACAUUGCGCCCAUUAGUAUUCUAGUGGGCAUGCCUGUUCGAGCGUCAUUCCAACCCUUAAGCCUAGCUUAGUGUUGGGAGACUGCCUAAUACGCAGCUCCUCAAAACCAGUGGCAGAGUUUUUACGUACUCUGAGCGCAGUAAUUCUAUUCUCGCUUUUGAACACGUCUAGACGAUAGCCAAAAACCGCUUGCUUCGGCAGCACUUUUUUAAUGGUUGACCUCGGAUCAGGUAGGAAUACCCGCUGAACUUAAGCAUAUCAAUAAGCGGAGG